CUCUUUCGUCCACUUUUGUCUUUACGCAACGUUACUCGGCCUCGCCCCUCCUUCAAUAAACACAGCUCCCCCUCCUCCCCCAUCGCUUCACCUGCAGGAAGCGACAAGAUGGACACGGCAAAUCUCCGUUAACGAGUUACUGCACAUCGCCCCGUGCGUGGGGCUGGACGCCGUCAACGUGUUAGCUAGCUAACCACGCUAACGAGCUAACCACGCUAACGCCUAAAAUCCUUGCAUUUUCUCAAAAGUUGACAGCGCGCCUUAUGUAUGAAUUCUGGUUGUGCUUGAUGGCCACUAACCGAUUUUAUGUGGUACACAGCGCUCAGCAAUCUGUCAAAAAUGUUUUAGUACGACUUUGGUAAGCUACGGUGCUGCACCGCUUGAUGGAUUGUCAGAGCAUUACGGCUACCGAGGAGCUUCGCGGAGUGAUACGUACUGUGCUUCAACGUAAUAUUACCCUACUGUGUAUAAGGACCAUAAAUGGCACCUGUUAAGUACGUGGUUACGAAGAGGAUUUCAAACUCAAGACUGUCAGUCACACAGUAGAAGUUGGGAACAGAGCAGCUGUGAAAUCUGUCUUUGUUACUCAGCGUCUUUUAUUUACAUUUUGACUGCACAAUUGUGAGCUUUUUGUUAUGCACAAAAACAACAUUGUUUUCUUUUAUUUAUGGAGCAUUAUUAUUUAAUAAAUGCUCAUAAUUUAUUUUUGAGUAAAUCUUAUGUACAUCUAUGCUCUUUGUUAAUAAAAGUGCCUGUGUGACAUCUGGGACACAGCUUUGACUAAGAACUCUCUUUUUGUUCUUACUUCAUGGCUUUAAAAAAAAAAAUCGAGAUAUAUAUCUUAUAUCGCCGUCCAGGUAAAAAAUAUCGAGAUAUGAAUUUUGGGUCAUAUCGCCCAGCCCUACAUGUGCGUAUGAAAACAAAGGCACUGCGCAUGCGCGUUUUACUCAUAUUCUAUCGCGAUAUUUAAUUUUCCUAUCGUUGCCUAACAUUAUACCGGUAUUACCGUGAACGGUAUAAUAUUGCCCAGCCCUACUGCCUAGGACACAUACAGGAUGUCAUGCUGAAAUGUAAAGCACUUACAAUAGAAGACAAACAACAAACUAUUCCAGCCUAAUUGAUGACAUUUAUGGCAUUUGCUUUCUGUGCUGACUGAUAUGCUGCUCAGUGCUUUGCUGCCUGCUUUUAAAUCAGAUGUCACUCUGAACAUAAACACAAGCUACAUGUGAUGUCUCUGAUGUGUAUCUGUUUCUACCCGUGCUGAUGCUAGCAUGACUAAAGCUAGCCAAGCAGCAGUAAAUAUGUGAAGUAAGGAAGAAGGAUAUACUCAUCAAACAAACAGGAUCAUAAGAAUAUAAAACCACGAGCACUACAAAUGUAACAGAAAUAUGUUGACAUAAAAUGGC
Long non-coding RNA from Astatotilapia calliptera (eastern happy), 1406 nucleotides. NCBI's taxonomy places the organism in Eukaryota, Metazoa, Chordata, Actinopteri, Cichliformes, Cichlidae. The record is from Ensembl.